CCAAAGGCCCUUUUAAGGGCCACCCAACUCUUCUGAAAAGAGCAAU
Danio rerio (zebrafish) is the source of this 46-nucleotide non-coding RNA. NCBI's taxonomy places the organism in Eukaryota, Metazoa, Chordata, Actinopteri, Cypriniformes, Danionidae. The record is from Rfam.